CUUUACUGUAGCUUGGAAUUGAAUUUGGGUUUAGUUUGCGCAGAAUAGGUGGGAGGCUAUGAUAUUACGUUUGAGGACGUGAAGGAGCCAACAGUGAGAUACCACUCUAGCUAAACUAGAAUUCUAAUCUUGACGCCGUUAACCGGCCAAGAGACAUUUCCUGGUGGGCAGUUUGACUGGGGCGGUCGCCUCCUAAAAGGUAACGGAGGCGUGCAAAGGUUUCUUCAGACUGGUCGGAAAUCAGUCGUAGAGUGUAAAGGCAUAAAGAAGCUUGACUGCAAGACCUACAAGUCGAGCAGAGACGAAAGUCGGCCUUAGUGAUCCGACAGUACUGAGUGGAAAGGCUGUCGCUCAACGGAUAAAAGUUA
Molecule: ribosomal RNA, 368 nt
Filed under: Polysiphonia sp. ARS-2011
Lineage: Eukaryota; Rhodophyta; Florideophyceae; Ceramiales; Rhodomelaceae
Description: bacterial LSU rRNA
Rfam family: Bacterial large subunit ribosomal RNA
Source: RNAcentral